Aedes albopictus (Asian tiger mosquito) is the source of this 1076-nucleotide long non-coding RNA. RefSeq lists it as uncharacterized. NCBI's taxonomy places the organism in Eukaryota, Metazoa, Arthropoda, Insecta, Diptera, Culicidae. The transcript is spliced from 3 exons. The record is from RefSeq and is a predicted model, not a curated record.
UUAUGACAACUAGUACCACUGUCACGUAAGAGUGUGUUGUGCACGUUUUGCAUGCACGGGUUAGAAUUCAAAACAACAUUCCAAACUUUAGUUGCAUUUGUGUAUUUAAUAUUAGGAAACAUUUUAUUUGAGACUUAGUUACUUAGUUAGCUUAGUUACUUACCAUGACAGCUAAAUACGUAUUCAUAAAUAUUUCAUAAAUAUAUUCAGGCCUGCAGCCAGAGACUGAAAACUGUGUUAUGUUCAAUAUUUAACAUGCAGCCAGCUUGUACCCUAUUACUCAAGGAAGCCAUCGAAUUGAGAAUGAUUGGAGCUCGAAACCAAAAAGUAUCAGCAUCAUCCUAUCCUGCAGGAUCGGAACAGAAAGCAAGGCGGUACCGUUUUGCGGGGUGUCAUUGGGCCAAAGUGGAGUGACAUUGGACUAUUUUAUACGUUUAGAAUACGACGGAAAUGCAUAUUGUGUGCUAAACUAUACUAUACUAGGAUACAUAAUUCUGAGAUACUUUGCAUCCACCGUCGUAUUCUCUGACUUAUAUUGAAUCCAUGUGAUCGGUGGACCAAUGUCACCCCGAACGACGGUACCUAGAGUGAUGUUCAUCAAAAAGGCUGGUCUUAUCAAUGCUGAUUGUCAGCUUAUCCAAAAAGUUAUUAGAUGUACUUGUCGUACGUUUAGUGUGCGAAGGGGAAUCAAAAGGAAUGAACAAUGAAACUAUGAUCAAAACGAGCAUCAAGGUGCAUCAAUGAAAUUGUAAACAUAUCUCUAAUGUAGCAAUAUGUGAUCACAAUGACACAAUCUGGGCGCAAUAAAAGUCGAGUAUUUGAAAAUAGAAACAUUGGGUAUUCGUGAAUUGAGAAAAACAAACAAAAGAAAAUGAUUCUAAAAAUAACCAUUUAUUGCACAACUUUAUGAUAAUCACGAAGCUACACUGAUUGCCUUCAUCAUCGUACUGCAGCGACCGUCGAGGUUUGGGAACAUGAUUGCUGACUAAUUUCCAGGUAUUCGGUUUCAUAAGCUUCAGGUGUUGCCAUUGCCGUCCAUGGAGUAUCUUCCGGAGUGGUUUCCAGAUGACUGUCAC